This 586-nucleotide long non-coding RNA is filed under the name Triticum aestivum (bread wheat). Its description in RNAcentral is "long non-coding RNA (TAES_LNC004802)". Lineage: Eukaryota; Viridiplantae; Streptophyta; Magnoliopsida; Poales; Poaceae. The record is from RNAcentral.
UUGCAUAUGCUGCGAGGAACAUGACGAACAACCAAGCCAAACCUGUGCUGGACCAGGUAUCAGAUUGUUUGCGCUGCUGCAUUUUUCGGUGUCCUAUGAAAUGUUUAUUCUUCAUCAAAUGUAUAUACAAUAUUGUUGGAAAACUCAACUAUUUUUCAAUCAAACUGUUCCAGGAAGGAUUGCUCGAACAUAGGAAGGUGCUUGGAUACCUGCUCAUGACCAUGGAUUCCAACAUUACGAAGAUCAACGGCGUCUAAGCAACAUUCUCAUGAAGACUAUCCAUCUUUCUUCACUAUAAAAAUGUUUGCGACUGAAAGUUGCUGUAUGUCUAUGAUGCCAUGUGUACCUAAAAGCCCUCACACACUGUGUGUGUUGUGGUCUGUCAGUGUUAGUGUCCGUAAUUCGGUAUGAGACUAUUUGUUGUCAGUCGUAAAAUGCACUUUGUUUUGUAUUUUCUGGUCCAUGAGACAGCUAAUGACUAUGUUAAGUGUUCUACAUCACUUAAUGCCUAAGUUCUACUUCUUCAUAUACUUUGUUGUCCGCGUGAAAUGAUGUUUGAUUCGAAAACUUAAAUCAAAUAUUACGU